Molecule: long non-coding RNA, 628 nt
Filed under: Heterocephalus glaber (naked mole-rat)
Lineage: Eukaryota; Metazoa; Chordata; Mammalia; Rodentia; Bathyergidae
Description: lncRNA (ENSHGLG00000050372.1)
Source: RNAcentral
CUCAGGAGUCUUUCAGGGUUGUUUCAACCCUUCGCUCGCCACAAUCUUGAGGCUGUGAGAGAAAAAGUUUUGAGGAUCCUGAGGUCUAAAUGUGUGAAGUGCCCAAGAACUGACCCUGGACUCGUGGAAUAGAGCACCAGAUGAUAUUACCUGAAGGCUGCUUUGUGGUUAUGAGGUCUGAAGGGUAUUUAUCAUUGUUCUUCAUCUGAUGUUAUACUCAGUGCAACCAAGCUUCUUUAUUGCUGCCCUCUUCUGGAUGAAGUCACAAAAUUGGCAUGCCAUGAAACAAGGCGCAAGGGUACCCAAAGAGGUGAUGGGGACCCCCAACUCUCCUCCCAAACUCUACAAAAACAGUGUGGCCAUCUGACUGAACUACUGGCAGUGGAAUUUAAGAAGAAACAAAUGUGUUAUUUCCAAGCCCAGGGUUUUAAGAAGAGGAUGUGGCUUCAGAGUGCUGUUACGCUCCUAUUACUUUGAUGCAGAAGAUGUAGAGACUUUAAGGGAUGGCACCCCUCACAAAGCAGAAGGAUCUUUCUAUCAUGAAAUACAUGGAUAAAAACUGCCUCCAAAUCAGAAGUGUAGGAACCAGCCUACUAGCUGAGCUUAAACCUGACCAAGGGGUGACAAG